RNAcentral lists this ribosomal RNA (430 nucleotides) under uncultured bacterium. Its description in RNAcentral is "bacterial SSU rRNA". It matches the Rfam family "Bacterial small subunit ribosomal RNA", at positions 55 to 527 of the family's 1533-position model. The record is from RNAcentral.
AUGCAGUCGUACGAGAUUUUUAAUUCAAGUGGCGGACGGGUGAGUAACACGUAAGAAUUUGCCUUUAGGAGGGGGAUAACAACUGGAAACGGUUGCUAAUACCCCAUAUGCUUUCGAGUGAAAUGGAUUUUUCCGCCUAGAGAGAAGCUUGCGGCUGAUUAGCUUGUUGGUAAGGUAAUGGCUUACCAAGGCGACGAUCAGUAUCUGGUUUGAGAGGAUGAUCAGACACACUGGAACUGAGACACGGUCCAGACUCCUACGGGAGGCAGCAGUGGGGAAUUUUCCGCAAUGGGCGAAAGCCUGACGGAGCAAUCUCGCGUGAGGGAUGACGGCCUAUGGGUUGUAAACCUCUUUUUUCAGGGAGGAAUAAAUGACGUGUACCUGAAGAAUAAGCAUCGGCUAACUCCGUGCCAGCAGCCGCGGUAAUACG